RNAcentral lists this ribosomal RNA (393 nucleotides) under Escherichia coli. RNAcentral's name for it is "bacterial LSU rRNA". It matches the Rfam family "Bacterial large subunit ribosomal RNA", at positions 2555 to 2925 of the family's 2925-position model. Lineage: Bacteria; Pseudomonadati; Pseudomonadota; Gammaproteobacteria; Enterobacterales; Enterobacteriaceae. The record is from RNAcentral.
GAAGUAGGUCCCAAGGGUAUGGCUGUUCGCCAUUUAAAGUGGUACGCGAGCUGGGUUUAGAACGUCGUGAGACAGUUCGGUCCCUAUCUGCCGUGGGCGCUGGAGAACUGAGGGGGGCUGCUCCUAGUACGAGAGGACCGGAGUGGACGCAUCACUGGUGUUCGGGUUGUCAUGCCAAUGGCACUGCCCGGUAGCUAAAUGCGGAAGAGAUAAGUGCUGAAAGCAUCUAAGCACGAAACUUGCCCCGAGAUGAGUUCUCCCUGAGACUUAGAGUCUCCUGAAGGAACGUUGAAGACGACGACGUUGAUAGGCCGGGUGUGUAAGCGCAGCGAUGCGUUGAGCUAACCGGUACUAAUGAACCGUGAGGCUUAACCUUACAACGCCGAAGCUGUU